GAUGAACGCUGGCGGCGUGCCUAAUACAUGCAAGUCGAGCGAACAGACGAGGAGCUUGCUCCUCUGACGUUAGCGGCGGACGGGUGAGUAACACGCGGAUAACCUACCUAUAAGACUGGGAUAACUUCGGGAAACCGGAGCUAAUACCGGAUAAUAUAUUGAACCGCAUGGUUCAAUAGUGAAAGACGGUUUUGCUGUCACUUAUAGAUGGAUCCGCGCCGCAUUAGCUAGUUGGUAAGGUAACGGCUUACCAAGGCAACGAUGCGUAGCCGACCUGAGAGGGUGAUCGGCCACACUGGAACUGACACGGUCCAGACUCCUACGGGAGGCAGCAGUAGGGAAUCUUCCGCAAUGGGCGAAAGCUUGACGGAGCAACGCCGCGUGAGUGAUGAAGGUCUUCGGAUCGUAAAACUCUGUUAUUAGGGAAGAACAAAUGUGUAAGUAACUAUGCACGUCUUGACGGUACCUAAUCAGAAAGCCACGGCUAACUACGUG
RNAcentral lists this ribosomal RNA (495 nucleotides) under uncultured bacterium. RNAcentral's name for it is "partial 16S ribosomal RNA". It matches the Rfam family "Bacterial small subunit ribosomal RNA", at positions 28 to 507 of the family's 1533-position model. The record is from RNAcentral.